Molecule: long non-coding RNA, 252 nt
Organism: Oncorhynchus tshawytscha (Chinook salmon)
Lineage: Eukaryota; Metazoa; Chordata; Actinopteri; Salmoniformes; Salmonidae
Source: Ensembl
GGACACCCAGGUUAUAGUUAACACUAAAGAGGACACCCAGGUUAGAGUUAACACUAAAGAGAACACCCAGGUUAGAGUUAACACUAAAGGGGACACCCAGGUUAUAGUUAACACUAAAGAGGACACCCAGGUUAGAGUUAACACUAAAGAGGACACCCAGGUUAGAGUUAACACUAAAGAGGACACCCAGGUUAGAGUUAACACUAAAGAGGACACCCAGGUUAGAGUUAACACUAAAGAGGACACCCAGGU